GAGUUUGAUCCUGGCUCACCCCCCCACGCUGGCGGCAGGCCUAACACAUGCAAGUCGAGCGGAAACGAGUUAACUGAACCUUCGGGGAACGUUAACGGCGUCGAGCGGCGGACGGGUGAGUAAUGCCUGGGAAAUUGCCCUGAUGUGGGGGAUAACCAUUGGAAACGAUGGCUAAUACCGCAUAAUAGCUUCGGCUCAAAGAGGGGGACCUUCGGGCCUCUCGCGUCAGGAUAUGCCCAGGUGGGAUUAGCUAGUUGGUGAGGUAAUGGCUCACCAAGGCGACGAUCCCUAGCUGGUCUGAGAGGAUGAUCAGCCACACUGGAACUGAGACACGGUCCAGACUCCUACGGGAGGCAGCAGUGGGGAAUAUUGCACAAUGGGCGCAAGCCUGAUGCAGCCAUGCCGCGUGUAUGAAGAAGGCCUUCGGGUUGUAAAGUACUUUCAGCAGUGAGGAAGGUGGGUAUGUUAAUAGCAUACUCAUUUGACGUUAGCUGCAGAAGAAGCACCGGCUAACUCCGUGCCAGCAGCCGCGGUAAUACGGAGGGUGCGAGCGUUAAUCGGAAUUACUGGGCGUAAAGCGCAUGCAGGUGGUUUGUUAAGUCAGAUGUGAAAGCCCGGGGCUCAACCUCGGAAUUGCAUUUGAAACUGGCAAACUAGAGUACUGUAGAGGGGGGUAGAAUUUCAGGUGUAGCGGUGAAAUGCGCAGAGAUCUGAAGGAAUACCGGGGGCGAAGGCGGCCCCCUGGACAGAUACUGACACUCCCAUGCCAAAGGCCCGCCGGAGCAAACGGGAUU
This 794-nucleotide ribosomal RNA is filed under the name uncultured bacterium. RNAcentral describes it as "bacterial SSU rRNA". It matches the Rfam family "Bacterial small subunit ribosomal RNA", at positions 9 to 779 of the family's 1533-position model. The record is from RNAcentral.